GAUGAAGAACGCAGCGAAAUGCGAUACGUAAUGUGAAUUGCAGAAUUCAGUGAAUCAUCGAGUCUUUGAACGCACAUUGCGCCCCCUGGUAUUCCGGGGGGCAUGCCUGUCCGAGCGUCAUUGCUGCCCUCAAGCACGGCUUGUGUGUUGGGCCUCCGUCCUCCUCCCGGGGGACGGGCCCGAAAGGCAGCGGCGGCACCGCGUCCGGUCCUCGAGCGUAUGGGGCUUCGUCACCCGCUCUUGUANNNNCGGCCGGCGCUUGCCGACACAUCAAUCUUUUUUCCAGGUUGACCUCGGAUCAGGUAGGGAUACCCGCUGAACUUAAGCAUAUCAAUAAGCGGAGGA
Molecule: unclassified non-coding RNA, 345 nt
Filed under: soil metagenome
Description: partial contains 5.8S ribosomal RNA, internal transcribed spacer 2, and large subunit ribosomal RNA
Rfam family: 5.8S ribosomal RNA (bases 1-120)
Source: RNAcentral